CUACGGGACGCUGCAGGUAAGAAUAAUCUACAAUGCGCGAAAGCGUGAUAGUUUGAGUCAGAGUGCCUUGCUAUUUGCAAGGCUUUUGUGAAAUGUAAAAAGUUUCACGAAUAAGGACUGGGUAAGACGAGUGCCAGCGCCGCGGUAAUACUCGCGGUCCAAGUCGCAGCCAUUUUUAUUGGGUCUAAAACAUCCGUAGCUUGCUUGAUAAGUUUCUUGUGAAAUCUUAUAUCUCAAAUAUGAAGCGUGCAAGAAAUACUGUCAAGCUAGAGACUGGAAGACGUAACGAGUACGUUUGAAGUAGUGGUAAAAUAUGUUAAUCUCAAGCGGACUAUCAACAGCGAAGGCACGUUACGAGGACAGUUCUGACAGUAAGGGAUGAAGGCUAGGGGCGCAAAACGGAUUAGAUACCCGAGUAGUC
RNAcentral lists this ribosomal RNA (421 nucleotides) under uncultured archaeon. Its description in RNAcentral is "partial 16S ribosomal RNA". It matches the Rfam family "Archaeal small subunit ribosomal RNA", at positions 323 to 746 of the family's 1478-position model. The record is from RNAcentral.